UGAGGAAUAUUGGUCAAUGGACGAGAGUCUGAACCAGCCAAGUAGCGUGCAGGAUGACGGCCCUAUGGGUUGUAAACUGCUUUUGUUUGGGAAUAAUCGACAUUACGUGUAAUGUUUUGCAUGUACCAUUCGAAUAAGGACCGGCUAAUUCCGUGCCAGCAGCCGCGGUAAUACGGAAGGUCCAGGCGUUAUCCGGAUUUAUUGGGCGUAAAGAGCUCGUAGGUGGUUCGUCGCGUCUGCCGUGAAAGCCAACAGCUUAACUGUUGGUCUGCGGUGGGUACGGGCGGGCUUGAGUGCGGUAGGGGUGACUGGAAUUCCUGGUGUAGCGGUGGAAUGCGCAGAUAUCAGGAGGAACACCGAUGGCGAAGGCAGGUCACUGGGCCGUUACUGACACUGAGGAGCGAAAGCGUGGGGAGCGAACAGG
RNAcentral lists this ribosomal RNA (424 nucleotides) under Verrucomicrobiota bacterium. Its description in RNAcentral is "Verrucomicrobia bacterium partial 16S ribosomal RNA". It matches the Rfam family "Bacterial small subunit ribosomal RNA", at positions 355 to 776 of the family's 1533-position model. The record is from RNAcentral. Lineage: Bacteria; Pseudomonadati; Verrucomicrobiota.